CCGGGGAUCAGCGGCGAACGGGUGAGUAACACGUGGGCAACCUGCCCUCAGCUCUGGGAUAACUCCGGGAAACCGGGGCUAAUACCGGAUACGACUUCCUGCGGCAUCUCGGGAAGUGGAAAGUUUUUCGGCUGAGGAUGGGCCCGCGGCCUAUCAGCUUGUUGGUGGGGUAAUGGCCCACCAAGGCGACGACGGGUAGCCGGCCUGAGAGGGCGACCGGCCACACUGGGACUGAGACACGGCCCAG
This 247-nucleotide ribosomal RNA is filed under the name uncultured bacterium. RNAcentral describes it as "partial 16S ribosomal RNA". It matches the Rfam family "Bacterial small subunit ribosomal RNA", at positions 85 to 334 of the family's 1533-position model. The record is from RNAcentral.